Molecule: transfer RNA, 84 nt
Filed under: Streptomyces huasconensis
Lineage: Bacteria; Bacillati; Actinomycetota; Actinomycetes; Kitasatosporales; Streptomycetaceae
Also listed under: 1 other name
Description: tRNA-Ser
Source: RNAcentral
GCCUUCGUCAAGGCGAUGGCCCGCCCCUCCUGAGCACCGCUCUCCUAAAGCGGGUGUCGCAGGUCCGAAUCCUGCCGGGGGGCG